UCACAAUUAAACAGUCUUUUCUUUAUUUACAAUUUCAGUAAUUUUGAAAAUUUGAUUAUUUUGUGGGU
This is a non-coding RNA of Ciona intestinalis (vase tunicate), 68 nucleotides long. The record is from RefSeq. Lineage: Eukaryota; Metazoa; Chordata; Ascidiacea; Phlebobranchia; Cionidae.